GCCAUCAGAUGUGCCCAGAUGGGAUUAGCUAGUAGGUGAGGUAAUGGCUCACCUAGGCGACGAUCCCUAGCUGGUCUGAGAGGAUGACCAGCCACACUGGAACUGAGACACGGUCCAGACUCCUACGGGAGGCAGCAGUGGGGAAUAUUGCACAAUGGGCGCAAGCCUGAUGCAGCCAUGCCGCGUGUAUGAAGAAGGCCUUCGGGUUGUAAAGUACUUUCAGCGAGGAGGAAGGCAUUGUGGUUAAUAACCGCAGUGAUUGACGUUACUCGCAGAAGAAGCACCGGCUAACUCCGUGCCAGCAGCCGCGGUAAUACGGAGGGUGCAAGCGUUAAUCGGAAUUACUGGGCGUAAAGCGCACGCAGGCGGUCUGUCAAGUCGGAUGUGAAAUCCCCGGGCUCAACCUGGGAACUGCAUUCGAAACUGGCAGGCUAGAGUCUUGUAGAGGGGGGUAGAAUUCCAGGUGUAGCGGUGAAAUGCGUAGAGAUCUGGAGGAAUACCGGUGGCGAAGGCGGCCCCCUGGACAAAGACUGACG
This 536-nucleotide ribosomal RNA is filed under the name Enterobacter sp. RNAcentral's name for it is "bacterial SSU rRNA". It matches the Rfam family "Bacterial small subunit ribosomal RNA", at positions 217 to 745 of the family's 1533-position model. The record is from RNAcentral. Lineage: Bacteria; Pseudomonadati; Pseudomonadota; Gammaproteobacteria; Enterobacterales; Enterobacteriaceae.